This is a long non-coding RNA of Megalops cyprinoides (Indo-Pacific tarpon), 1434 nucleotides long. RefSeq lists it as uncharacterized. Lineage: Eukaryota; Metazoa; Chordata; Actinopteri; Elopiformes; Megalopidae. The record is from RefSeq and is a predicted model, not a curated record. The transcript has 3 exons.
CAGUGCGGCGUCGCAUCAACUGACGUCACGGUAUGCGACACUUGUCAUGCUAAUUGUUUGCCGUGGGAUCCCUUUAAAAGCCCGGCACUGCUGCAGCCAGGGCCAAACACUUGAAAUAUUGCCCUUAUCGUGCGUCGCAGUGUGCCGUAUUUGGGGUACCACUCAAUCGGUGGGUGCGCGUCCUUGUUUAAGUUACCGGCUGCUUUGCUGUGUUGCGGUGUCAGCACUUAGCAACGGGAGUUCACCUCUCUUCGUCUUCGGCCGUGGUGGGUCGCUUACCGGAAGUACACAAGAUCAAGGCUGCAUUUUGGUCACCGGCUGCUGUUUUGUCAUCAAUAACCCUUUUAGUUUUAUGACUCUUAUUUAGCGAAUGCUCUAUCGCGGCGGCACCGUACGAGGGUGGCCGGAGCAUCUGAGUGGUAACGUGUGAUCGUGUGUGUUGGUGCGUGUGUGCGUGCAGGUGAUUGUGUGAGUUAGCGUUGAGGGCGCUGGGUGUGUGUAGACGUGCUCCGUGUUGGCGUGGGGUGCAUGCUCGUGCGUGUGUGUGUGCGUAUGGAUAUCGGGUAUGGGGUUUCCUGGUGGGUAGCAUGAGGAAUGAUCUACUGUGAUAUUGUAUUGUAAACAUAACCUUCUUUGUUAGCUGUCUUGGUUGUUGUUGUUGUUGUUGUCUAUUUUCGGUUUGGGUGUCUUGCGUCUGAUGCUAGGCCCCACCUGUGACUAGUCUGCCCUCCUGGGCCCGUGUGUUUCACCUUGACUUUUCACACAUUCCAGGAUUGGUUAAGGCACCUUGUUGUGCCCGUUGGGGAAGUGUUGUGUUGUGAUUUGUACUGGUGUUAUUACCUGUGGCCAUAACUGCUAUUUGGUUAGCCCUGUGGGCUCAGACCUAACUGGUGGGGCCCUUUUCUGAUGUUGUCUUAUUAUUGUCUUUCUUUUCUUUCCUGGCAGGACUGGGGACAUCCAGUAGGGAGGCUUGACACCUGGUGGUGGGUAUUUGUGUCUUUGCUCCACUAUCAUUUGCAGUGUAGUGUCACCGGGGUGUGCAGUGCAGUGUGUGUGUGUGUGUAGCCACGUGUGGUCCUUCUGACCCUCCUUCCAGACAAGGUCUCCCUCUGGUAAGCUCCGCUCCUGUUCAUUCUAGUUUAUUUUGUGUCUUCGGUAUCCGCUAUCGGUACGAUAUUCCUCUGUGUCUAACUGGGUGUUUAGCCCCACUAAUGAAAGUGUAACCAUCAGACCAAUCAAAAUAAAGCGUGUAUACAAUUUUAAUAGAACCCCGUCUCUGCUUCAUCCUUGCACGAACCUGUGUGCCUUGGUGUGGAUUAUACAGGAAGCUGGUUGUAUUUGGUAACCGGUGGUUAGUUCCCACCAGGCUUAUUUCCUACAUAGAGAUCAGACCUCCAGUAGGUGGCGUAGUCGACACAAAGCUCUAAUCAUUGC